GGCAGGGUAGCUCAGUUGGUGAGAGCGCCGGAUUCAUAACCCGGAGGUCGGCGGUUCAAAUCCGCCUCCUGCUACCA
Molecule: transfer RNA, 77 nt
Filed under: Phyllobacteriaceae bacterium
Lineage: Bacteria; Pseudomonadati; Pseudomonadota; Alphaproteobacteria; Hyphomicrobiales; Phyllobacteriaceae
Also listed under: 2 other names
Description: tRNA-Met
Rfam family: tRNA
About the family: Transfer RNA (tRNA) molecules are approximately 80 nucleotides in length. Their secondary structure includes four short double-helical elements and three loops (D, anti-codon, and T loops). Further hydrogen bonds mediate the characteristic L-shaped molecular structure. tRNAs have two regions of fundamental functional importance: the anti-codon, which is responsible for specific mRNA codon recognition, and the 3' end, to which the tRNAs corresponding amino acid is attached (by aminoacyl-tRNA synthetases). tRNAs cope with the degeneracy of the genetic code in two manners: having more than one tRNA (with a specific anti-codon) for a particular amino acid; and 'wobble' base-pairing, i.e. permitting non-standard base-pairing at the 3rd anti-codon position.
Source: RNAcentral